AUGACAUCUAGUGUUUCAAUCACUUUUCUUGAUGUUCCUCUCAAGAGAGAAUCUUUUUCUUUCACAGGAGACAAUUUUCUAUGCCCUUUCAAAAUAGUUGGUGAUAAUUAUGCUACAUUUUUAGUAAAGAACAAUAUAGCACUGCUUAUAGCACUUGACCUAUCCGCUGAGUUCUACAUUGCACUAUCGCCUAUACUAAAUUCAUGUCCCAUUCUUCAUUGUAGGAGCUAUCUUCCUUAUCAGAGAAACUUGAAUCACCAAAAGGCAAGUGGGCCAUUGUUUCUUUGA
Vicia faba (fava bean) is the source of this 288-nucleotide non-coding RNA. NCBI's taxonomy places the organism in Eukaryota, Viridiplantae, Streptophyta, Magnoliopsida, Fabales, Fabaceae. The record is from the annotation of a GenBank genome assembly.